This 1159-nucleotide ribosomal RNA is filed under the name uncultured eukaryote. RNAcentral describes it as "partial 18S ribosomal RNA". The stretch from base 22 to 420 matches the Rfam family "Eukaryotic small subunit ribosomal RNA", at positions 43 to 434 of the family's 1831-position model. The record is from RNAcentral.
UACUCAUACGCACGUCUCAAGAUUAAGCCAUGCAUGCCUUAGUAUAAACAAUUUUGUACUGUGAAACUGCGAAUGGCUCAUUAUAUCAGUUAUAAUUUAUUUGAUAGUCACUUACUACAUGGAUAACCGUGGUAAUUCUAGAGCUAAUACAUGCGUAAAAGUCCUUCGGGACUGUAUUUAUUAGAUUAAAACCAAUGCCUCCGGGCUUUCUGGUGAUUCAUAAUAACUUUUAAAAUCCCAUGUCCUUGCGACGGCGAGUUAUCCAUCUGACUUUCGCCUGUCAGCCCUACCUCGACGGGAUGCCCGUUUCUCUGGCUACUGUGGCUCCACCGGGUAACGGAGAAUUAUCAUCCAACGCCGAAGCAGGAGCCCCUUCCGGAACCUCCACCACUUCUUCGGCUAGCACAUGGAACGCAGGCCACUCGCACGCAGAUUAAGCAAGGGUCGAAAACAACGAUACUGGCCAAUCUCACCAAUACCCGACUCUUCCAAGACUAUCACCCUUGUACUGUUACGACCUAACAAAUGGUCUGUAUGAUGCUUCGAGCGCAUUCUUGCACCUCCGCCAGUGCUAUCUAUGCUGCUAUAAUAAUAUUAAUGCAGUUUGUGCUUCUUAAAUGGACUCGCAUCCCUCGUGGCAGUGCUCGGUCCGCAUUGCUGCAGCCCCUGUUCUGUCGCUUGUCUUCCCCGUGUGUCUUACGUGCCUGGCUUGUCGACCGGUGAACUUGAACGAGCUCCGACCCAGCAGCACGCUUGUUUCUUCUUUUAUGAUCAUGGAGCUUCAGAACUUGGUCCCUACUUCGUUUAAUAUUUCGGUGCGUGAACUCAGGUAUAUUAUGGCCGAGCCAAAGUCGUCGGUUUGCGACUCUAAACUAAAGUCUAGGGCCACGUUGGCGGAGAUGACCCCAGCUUUGCGGUAAAUUGAUGAUUCGCUAACAAUAAUUAAUGUCAAAGGAUUCACAAUGAAUGCUGACAUUAAGCGGACAUAAUCGUAAUAUUUGCCAAGGCGACCCUCGUGCUAGAUAUUUAUAUCUCUUGCUGUGGCGGAGAAUUUGUGCUGACGGUGUGAAUUCGAUGGACAGAUAGGAGGGCAUCCAGGAGAGAUGAGGGAUCUGUGGGGUUAAGGAGGACUUUAAGAUGUUAGAAAACUUCGACUUGU